RNAcentral lists this ribosomal RNA (503 nucleotides) under uncultured bacterium. Its description in RNAcentral is "partial 16S ribosomal RNA". It matches the Rfam family "Bacterial small subunit ribosomal RNA", at positions 30 to 523 of the family's 1533-position model. The record is from RNAcentral.
AUUGAACGCUGGCGGCAGGCUUAACACAUGCAAGUCGAGCGGGGUGAUGGUGCUUGCACUAUCACUUAGCGGCGGACGGGUGAGUAAUGCUUAGGAAUCUGCCUAUUAGUGGGGGGCAACAUCUCGAAAGGGAUGCUAAUACCGCAUACGUCCUACGGGAGAAAGCAGGGGAUCACUUGUGACCUGUCGCUAAUAGAUGAGCCUAAGUCGGAUUAGCUAGUUGGUGGGGUAAAGGCCUACCAAGGCGACGAUCUGUAGCGGGUCUGAGAGGAUGAUCCGCCACACUGGGACUGAGACACGGCCCAGACUCCUACGGGAGGCAGCAGUGGGGAAUAUUGGACAAUGGGGGGAACCCUGAUCCAGCCAUGCCGCGUGUGUGAAGAAGGCCUUAUGGUUGUAAAGCACUUUAAGCGAGGAGGAGGCUCUUUUGGUUAAUACCCAAGAUGAGUGGACGUUACUCGCAGAAUAAGCACCGGCUAACUCUGUGCCAGCAGCCGCCGUAA